UGGGGAAUAUUGCACAAUGGGCGCAAGCCUGAUGCAGCCAUGCCGCGUGUGUGAAGAAGGCCUUCGGGUUGUAAAGCACUUUCAGCGAGGAGGAAGGUGGUGAGCUUAAUACGCUCAUCAAUUGACGUUACUCGCAGAAGAAGCACCGGCUAACUCCGUGCCAGCAGCCGCGGUAAUACGGAGGGUGCAAGCGUUAAUCGGAAUUACUGGGCGUAAAGCGCACGCAGGCGGUUUGUUAAGUCAGAUGUGAAAUCCCCGGGCUCAACCUGGGAACUGCAUUUGAAACUGGCAAGCUAGAGUCUCGUAGAGGGGGGUAGAAUUCCAGGUGUAGCGGUGAAAUGCGUAGAGAUCUGGAGGAAUACCGGUGGCGAAGGCGGCCCCCUGGACGAAGACUGACGCUCAGGUGCGAAAGCGUGGGGAGCAAAACAGGAUUAGAUACCCUGGUAGUCCACGCUGUAAACGAUGUCGAUUUUGGAGGUUGUGCCCUUGAGGCGUGGCUUCCGGAGCUAACGCGUUAAAUCGACCGCCUGGGGAGUACGGCCGCAAGGUUAAAACUCAAAUGAAUUGACGGGGUCAUAGCUGUUUCCU
RNAcentral lists this ribosomal RNA (588 nucleotides) under uncultured bacterium. RNAcentral describes it as "partial 16S ribosomal RNA". It matches the Rfam family "Bacterial small subunit ribosomal RNA", at positions 355 to 1375 of the family's 1533-position model. The record is from RNAcentral.